RNAcentral lists this ribosomal RNA (187 nucleotides) under uncultured Streptococcus sp. RNAcentral describes it as "partial 16S ribosomal RNA". It matches the Rfam family "Bacterial small subunit ribosomal RNA", at positions 1196 to 1382 of the family's 1533-position model. The record is from RNAcentral. Lineage: Bacteria; Bacillati; Bacillota; Bacilli; Lactobacillales; Streptococcaceae.
GGCCCCUUAUGACCUGGGCUACACACGUGCUACAAUGGUUGGUACAACGAGUUGCGAGUCGGUGACGGCGAGCUAAUCUCUUAAAGCCAAUCUCAGUUCGGAUUGUAGGCUGCAACUCGCCUACAUGAAGUCGGAAUCGCUAGUAAUCGCGGAUCAGCACGCCGCGGUGAAUACGUUCCCGGGCCUU